GCCGGGCGUGGUGGUGAGCGCCUGUAGUCCCAGCUACUCGGGAGGCUGAGGCUGGAGGAUUGCUUGAGGCCAGCAGUUCUGGGCUGUAGUGCGCUACGCCGAUCGGGUGUCUGCACGAAGUUCGGCAUCAGUAUGGUGGCCUCCCGGGAGCAGGGGGUCACCGGGUUGCCUAAGGAGGGGUGAACUGGCCCAGGUCGGAGACGGAGCAGGUCAAAGCUCCCGUGCUGACCAGUAGUGGGAUCGCGCCUGUGAAUAGACACUGGGCAACAUCUCUUAAAAAAAAAAAAAAAAAGGUCAUUUUGGCU
Unclassified non-coding RNA from Myotis lucifugus (little brown bat), 305 nucleotides. It matches the Rfam family "Metazoan signal recognition particle RNA". Rfam says of the family: The signal recognition particle (SRP) is a universally conserved ribonucleoprotein. It is involved in the co-translational targeting of proteins to membranes. Lineage: Eukaryota; Metazoa; Chordata; Mammalia; Chiroptera; Vespertilionidae. The record is from Ensembl.